GACGAGGGAUCCUAGCGUUGUUCGGAAUCAUUGGGCGUAAAGCGGGUGUAGGUGGCUAUGUAAGUCAGGUGUGAAAGCCUGGGGCUUAACCCCAGAAGUGCAUCUGAUACUGCGUAGCUUGAGUGCCGGAGAGGUUAGUAGAAUUGUUGGUGUAGUGGUGAAAUACGUAGAUAUCAACAGGAAUACCGGAGGCGAAGGCGGCUAACUGGCCGGACACUGACACUCAGACCCGAAAGUGCGGGGAUCAAACAGG
This 253-nucleotide ribosomal RNA is filed under the name uncultured bacterium. Its description in RNAcentral is "partial 16S ribosomal RNA". It matches the Rfam family "Bacterial small subunit ribosomal RNA", at positions 524 to 776 of the family's 1533-position model. The record is from RNAcentral.